Molecule: long non-coding RNA, 1619 nt
Filed under: Pan troglodytes (chimpanzee)
Lineage: Eukaryota; Metazoa; Chordata; Mammalia; Primates; Hominidae
Description: lincRNA
Source: RNAcentral
GAGAGAGAGAGAGAACUAAAAACCCUGAAGGAUGGUUCUCAAAAAUUCUAAAGGAACCACAGGGAAUUCCUUUUAAGAGCAACAGAAAGCAAGCUAGCUGAGGCUUCUGGACUUUUUGAAUUCUGAAACCAAAAGAAGAAUAAGUCGAAGAAUUCUUACUUUGUGGGACGAAAUAUUUUCGGGUCUGGCUGAGAUGAAGAGGAACGAGGGACAUUGCCCGUUUGAAAUCUCAACUCUACUACACAGAAUCAGUAACAGCCAGGAGCCAUAUUGCCUGACUGUCCCCACCAUCCACCCACACACACACCUGGUCUAAAUAUGUAUUUACAAAAUAUACAUACAUGUUUACACAUUUCAGAUUGACCAAUUGGAGUAACAACUCUGGAAUUUUCACAGCUUAGGCAAUUUGAGAAUAGCGUCUCUUCUUUCUAUGCCAUGUGCUAGAAUGAAAUUAGGAUUCAACUUGAUUGGGUUUGAAUUUUUGGAGGUAGCUGUUCUUAUCUGGCAUGUCUACUGAGUUUUCUUAAAUGAAUAUACAUAUGCCUUCAACCAAUUACCCCUCCUUCCUUCCCUUCCUUCCUUCUUCCCUCCCUCCUUCCUUCCCUCCCUCCCUCCUUUCCUUCCUUCCAUCCAUCCGUCAAGUUACCUACGAUUUUCCUGCUAAGUCAUCCCCCAGUGGCUGAGGGUAAAAUCCACAGUCUGAAUCCUUUUUAAAUUUUAAUUUAAAAGUAAAAAUGUGGGUGCUUCCGAUUGUGUCCGCUGAUACCCUUUGUUUAAAUCAAAGCAUUCUAAAGGAAAACUCCUUUCUAUUGUUGACAACCCUUUCAAUUUCUAGUCCGCUCUUCUUAGGGACAGUAAUGAAGGGCUUUAAAUUGAUCCCUUUAUUUUUUUGAAAUGGAAGAAGUGUCAAAUAUUCGAAUUUGUCUUGAUCAUUUAUUUUCCACGAGCAGGGAGCAAACACUGUGUGAGUGAUACGUGCACAUUCUGUAGGUGGUUAUGAUGAAUAAAUUGGUUGUACGAUGCAGAAAUCAAAUGAUGGAGUGAUGAUGAUGAUGAGCAAGUCAAAUGUAUUUGCAUCGCCUUCUCACUUCUGAAAUGGCGUUAAGUCAGGGAUUUUACUAGAGUGAAUCCACACGUCUGCAUUUCUACCAGAAUGAAAGCUGCAGCUUGUGCAUAUAGAGACUGGGAAAAGCAGAGGGUUUCCUGCCAAUUUAGAGGAGGAAAACAUCAGAUUGUUACAAAGUUUAUGAGUAAUUGAAAGUCAGUCACUACUGCUACAACGUGUAGAGUCUGAGCACCCACAAAUAGUGAGGAGAAAAUAGACGGAAGAUAGAACCUAAAGACUAAAAAAGAGUAAUUAGAAAUGCUAAUAACUCAGUGGUAUGUAUGUUCAUUGGGCAAUUUUCAUGGCCAAACUCUCUAUUUUGUUCGUUUUAAAGGUUGUUGUUUUUUUAAAAAUACCUUUGAAUACUUAUUAAAUCUGGAUCUGGAUGCCAUUAAGCAAGAGCUCUGCUUAUGGACCAAGGCUGACAAACAUACAGUAUCCUUUUGAAGAUACAGCCUGAAUCUAUUGGCGGGUAAUUGCCAUGGAUUUAGUCAUUAGUUAAUAUCGCAUCACA